CCCGCCUGUAAAUGGCGUCUGGGGGCCCGGAACGUGGGAAAGAAAGUGGGCAACCCCCACUCCGAAACUGGCCUCGGCGUCCGGGCUGCGGCCCCUAAGGAAAGCUGGCCCGAAGAAGGAAGAGGAGGAGAAGGAGUUUUAUCCUUAAGGCCUGGGAGAUGCAGAAUAGUCCAAGAGAGAACCAUGUUUAAAACCCUCGAAGGCUGCGUUGGAGGAGGGAAUCCGCUCCAGAGACGGAGUCUCGCCCUGUUGCCCAGGCUGGAGUGCAGUGGCACGAUCUCGGAUCA
Molecule: long non-coding RNA, 287 nt
Organism: Chlorocebus sabaeus (green monkey)
Lineage: Eukaryota; Metazoa; Chordata; Mammalia; Primates; Cercopithecidae
Source: RefSeq, a predicted model, not a curated record